This is a long non-coding RNA of Fulmarus glacialis (Northern fulmar), 802 nucleotides long. RefSeq lists it as uncharacterized. Lineage: Eukaryota; Metazoa; Chordata; Aves; Procellariiformes; Procellariidae. The transcript has 2 exons. The record is from RefSeq and is a predicted model, not a curated record.
GGAGUCCCUCUGAUGACACCACGAAUCUGGGAAUGAAGAACUUCUUAGAGCUGAUUGGAAAUGGCAUUGCAGAGCUGAAACUUAACUGGAGGAAAUAUAUCUCCUGAAGAAGAAAAUAUAAUGCACUAUAAGGAUCUGACUUCUGGUGAAAAAUUCAAGCCUAGAGAAAACUUGUCCGCUUUGUUAGGAAGAAUGGGUUGGACAAUUUUCUUCAAUUCGAAAGGAUAUCUGAAUGCCAUGCUGAGCUUAAUCUCUGCAGCAUGCUCUGUGCUUCCCAUCUCUUCCUGAUGCACUGCAUGGUUAUCCUGAAGGGGAGGAUAAAGAAACUGGCCACCAAGAUGGUAAUCACUAGUGGAAAUGAAGAAGAUAAAGGCAGUCAAGAAAAGGAAAGCAAAGAAGAAACCAUCUUGGCAAUGCUUGGAAUUAUUGGGACAAUUCUGAACCUCAUUGUGAUCAUUUUUGUGUAUAUUUACACAACCUUGUAAACUAGAAGGCAUGCAAAUAGACCAGAUAAAACGGCCAUUAAGAGUGAUGACAAACAUUGCUGACUAUUGACAAGUUGUUUAAUCAGAAUUGACUGUGUAUUAUAUUAACACAUCAUAAAAGCACUGCCUGCCGGCAGCGACGACGGCUGAAGCACAAUUAAUUUAACAAGACUUUUUCACACAGUAACAAGCUUAACUCUUCUGUCCUGCCCUCUUCCUUUCAGUUUGGGGGAAAAUGACUGCAAUUAUGUAAGUUGUAGCUUUGAAGAAAUCCACCAGGGAUAUGUUGUUUUGACACAAUUAUAAAAAAAAAAAAA